This is a long non-coding RNA of Pongo pygmaeus (Bornean orangutan), 505 nucleotides long. RefSeq lists it as uncharacterized. The transcript has 4 exons. The record is from RefSeq and is a predicted model, not a curated record. Lineage: Eukaryota; Metazoa; Chordata; Mammalia; Primates; Hominidae.
UGUUGUGCAGACUCAGGCAGCUCACUCGGGGCUGGGCAGCAGACAGUGAUUAUCAUCACCCCCUGCUUUCAUCCAUUACAGCGGGUGUUAGCAGCAUGUAGAUUCAUAUUUGCUACAAGGCUUGAGUGACUCUCAGAGACCACACAUCCUAUCUCAUGGAUGAAUGACUUGAGUCCCAGAGAGGAUUUGCCCUGCCCAGAGUCACACAGCUAGCCAGGAGAGGAAUUAGCACCCAGAAGAUGUGGGAUUUGAGACCCAAAGAAGUGAAGUAACCUGCCCAAGUUUACACAGCUUGGAGUAGUACCCGAGUUUCUAUGGACUCCAGAGCUCAUGAGUUCACCACUUCACUCUGUGCCUCCUAACUCUGAGCUUGGAUGAGAGUGCUCAGUGGCCAGGCUUGGACAAGGAAGGAAGUUCUGUCCUCAUUCCACUUCAUCUUGGGCAAUCAUCUUGCAGCAAGGAAGGGCAAUGAGCAAUGAGGCUCAGUUCCCAAAAGCCUGAUUUC